CAAAAUGGAGAGUUUGAUCCUGGCUCAGGAUGAACGCUGGCGGUAUGCUUAACACAUGCAAGUCGAACGGAAUCUUUAGGGAUUUAGUGGCGGACGGGUGAGUAACGCGUAAGAAUCUACCUUCAGGUUGGGGACAACCACUGGAAACGGUGGCUAAUACCGAAUGUGCCGAGAGGUGAAAGGCUUGCUGCCUGAAGAAGAGCUUGCGUCUGAUUAGCU
RNAcentral lists this ribosomal RNA (219 nucleotides) under Anabaena sp. MDT14b. RNAcentral describes it as "partial 16S ribosomal RNA". It matches the Rfam family "Bacterial small subunit ribosomal RNA", at positions 1 to 246 of the family's 1533-position model. Lineage: Bacteria; Bacillati; Cyanobacteriota; Cyanophyceae; Nostocales; Nostocaceae. The record is from RNAcentral.